UCAGCCAAAUAGCAAGAUACUAUAUGUGCUGCUGUGUCACGUGUUGGUCAUAGGUGGCAGAGAGGAGAGAGGCUAUGUCUAUUCUCAGUGUUCUGACCAAUGAACAUCUGAAUGAUUAGUAGCCUAACAUU
Small nucleolar RNA from Rattus norvegicus (Norway rat), 131 nucleotides. Ensembl annotates it as small nucleolar RNA SNORA17. The record is from Ensembl. NCBI's taxonomy places the organism in Eukaryota, Metazoa, Chordata, Mammalia, Rodentia, Muridae.